AAUAUAUAUUGAUGGUGCAUUAUUCUAGUCGUACUUUUUUAUUACGAGGGUGGGGCUAAAAAUCCACUAAAGGGCAUAUAAAUUUGGGCUUCUUGUUUGUGCGCGAAAUGCCAGUUUUGUGUGUGAGUAGGGAGUAAGAUUUAAGGGUAAGGUGUAGUGGCAUAUGCUGGAUUCCCUUAUCUCGCUGAAACUUAAGAAGAAACUUUAAGUAAAACCUAUGAUGAGUGCCAAGACACAAAAUGCAUAGUGUAGCCUGUCUUGAGUGAAGGUAUUGGGAUUAUGUUAAACUAUAUGAAAUUGCCUUUGCAAAAAAGACUAGUAAUAAAUAAAAGUGCGUUAAGGAAAACUUCUAGAAUGUUUGCUUUGUCAAAAGGCAAGAAAACAUAAGGAUUAAGGUACGGAUUUAAGUGGCGAUCUGGUGUCUAAUACCAACCUUAGAUGUUUUCUUUAAACGGAAACGGCUAUAUAGCAAUAUAUAGUAGAAAACAGAGAAAUUCAACCAGACCUAAACCGUAAAAUUUACUUAUGUUUUUACCAUCUUAUACUUUU
This 549-nucleotide small RNA is filed under the name bovine gut metagenome. The record is from RNAcentral.